CUGAGACUGCCUGGAGGAGUAAAUUUGGAAAAGCAGAAUUAGGAGGCUGAGGCAUAGGCAUAAAAGAUUGGAAUGAAUUACUUCCACGUGUUGCCAGUUGUAUGGUACUGGCAUGAACUGCAAAAGACUGCUGCAGGCAAUAAAAUGAUCCAGUUCCUCUAAUUUACUGCCAGUCCCUGUGCUAUACUACUGUCUCACUUUCAAGUAAUGUGAGCAGUCACACACUGUCAGCUAGGGAUCUGCCAUUUUAACCUUGACUAUUGGUCUCUUAGGUAGCUCUGCUACCAAUUUUACUGUGCUGUAGCUUUUUGCGUCUCUAAGGACUCUGCUACCAAACACCACUGUGUGCAGUCUUUACACUUUGGGAAAUUUCCAGCAGUAUUAUAGCACCGCUAACAUUGCUGUUUCCGCAAAAGUUUUAGAACCACAGACACCCUUAGGAUUUCCUUUGAUGUUCUUUCUGUUUCCCACAAGUGCUACCUUCCCUUUCAUCCUUUGAUUUAGACACAAGCACAGCCUGGCAUGCCCCAAAGAGUUGUUACUGUCCAAUAUCAUAGUACUCUACUGCCUCUUCCUUGACUUUUCCUUUCCUUGCAACAAGAACAUUACCAGCAACAAUUUCAACAUUCAAGAGAGCCCCCAGCGCCUGCUACACUUUCCACCGAAACGUCCCAAAUGCCAUACUAACUCCAAAGACAUCCUUAGUGAUAUCUACUGACAGACAACAAAAAGUUCUAGGUGCAGACCAACUAUCUGUAUUUCUGAACUCAUAGGGGAAAAUGAGAAAAGGAAAAAAAAAAAAGAAUUAAAAAAGGGAAGAAACCGCUCAAUACACACAUACCCCUUUCAUCCUGGACUGAUCAGUUGCUCGAUGAGAACUGGGAGUCACUAUUCAUCCACUGCUUGCUCUGUGUUAACUUGCUUACUGAAAGAUGCAGGUCUAAGAUUUUCUGUCCUCUUACAUAAAACAUAACUAAAUUAAGCCCCUCAUUGUUAUUCCAACAGCUAAUCUAAUGAUUUGAUCUUUAUAGGAGAAAGCUGCCCUUACUUUUCUCCUCCAAGAAUCAGAUAAAUUCCACAGACAUAAAAACCUGCAACAUUUUCACUGUAUGAAUUACAUAUCUCAAAAAUCAUUGUAUUUCUCCUUGGAGAACUGUACGUUUCCAUAGGGAGAGAACAGAUACCAGGAGACUUUCAGUUCAGUAUUCUCCUUUGCUUCCUGGCUUCAAUUAAGAGAAGAUUAAAACAGCCUCUCUCUGCUGUUUUAUUCUGUCUGUGAUUAGGACACUUGUCAAAUACCUUUUUCAGCUGCUGAACUGGAAUGAUCAUUAUUGCUGACCACUAUAUAUUAUACUCCUCUUUGCUUUUUUUAACAAGUUAAAUAUUUCACCUUCUUCACAUCUCUUUUUAAACCUACUAUAUCCACCUUUGUCCAAGCUCAGUUGUAGAAUGUCCUUUAUCCAGAAUUAAAACCUUCUGAGGGACUUUUG
Molecule: long non-coding RNA, 1490 nt
Filed under: Strigops habroptila (Kakapo)
Lineage: Eukaryota; Metazoa; Chordata; Aves; Psittaciformes; Psittacidae
Description: lncRNA (ENSSHBG00005002634.1)
Source: RNAcentral